RNAcentral lists this ribosomal RNA (502 nucleotides) under uncultured bacterium. RNAcentral's name for it is "partial 16S ribosomal RNA". It matches the Rfam family "Bacterial small subunit ribosomal RNA", at positions 30 to 523 of the family's 1533-position model. The record is from RNAcentral.
AUUGAACGCUGGCGGCGUGCCUAACACAUGCAAGUCGAGCGGUAACAGGUGUAGCAAUACAUGCUGACGAGCGGCGAACGGGUGAGUAAUGCUUCGGAAUCUACCUUAUGGUGGGGAAUAACUAGCCGAAAGGUUAGCUAAUACCGCAUACGUCCUACGGGAGAAAGCAGGGGAUCGCAAGACCUUGCGCCAAAAGAUGAUCCGAAGUCGGAUUAGCUAGUUGGUAGGGUAACGGCCUACCAAGGCGACGAUCAGUAGCUGGUCUGAGAGGACGACCAGCCACACUGGGACUGAGACACGGCCCAGACUCCUACGGGAGGCAGCAGUGGGGAAUAUUGGACAAUGGGGGAAACCCUGAUCCAGCGACGCCGCGUGUGUGAAGAAGGCCUGCGGGUUGUAAAGCACUUUUAGUGGGGAUGAAAUGUGCAGGGUUAAUACCUCUGCAUUUUGACCUAACCCACAGAAAAAGCACCGGCUAACUCUGUGCCAGCCGCCGCAGUAA